UCCAGGCGCGCCUCCCCUCUCCGGGACUUUCACAGCCACCGGGGACAUCAUCCUCUCUUCCUGCCCCACUCCUGCCUGCUCGGCCUCGGCGCCCAGAUCUCCAGUGGCUCAGGCUCCCCUUGUCCCCAGCCGGUCCGGAGCUGCGGUCAGCGGACAGUACGGCCGGCCCAGGUCCGACACAUCCUCGUGAUGGUCCCGCCUCACUCACCCUCUGUCACCUCGAGCACCUUAAUUUGUUCCUCGGCAGCCGCUCGCACCUCCUGCACUGGGGACAGGAUCCCGGUGAGCGUAUCCACCAACGCCUCCUUCAGUCCUUGUGCCACUGGACCCGGCAGCCCGGAGGCCGCACCAGCNNNNNNNNNNNNNNNNNNNNNNNNNNNNNNNNNNNNNNNNNNNNNNNNNNNNNNNNNNNNNNNNNNNNNNNNNNNNNNNNNNNNNNNNNNNNNNNNNNNNNNNNNNNNNNNNNNNNNNNNNNNNNNNNNNNNNNNNNNNNNNNNNNNNNNNNNNNNNNNNNNNNNNNNNNNNNNNNNNNNNNNNNNNNNNNNNCGGGACCCGCCACUGAAUGACGGCUCCCGCGCGCGGCCAAUCCGCGAAGCCGCGCCUGCGCACCAGAGUCGGGCGGGAGCUAGAAGGGGGCGGGGAAUGGGUCUAAACCUCCAGAGACAGCGCCUCCUGCCGUAUGGACGAAAACUACACGUUUUCCCGCGAGAAUCGCUUCGCAUUUUUGUGAAAACUGAGCUCCAGAGAGGUUAGGGGGCUUUCCUGAGUGGAACAGCAAGUUAGUAAACUCACUUGGAACAAAGCCUAUGAUAGAGGACUUUAGAUACAUGGAUCUUUCAGGUAUAAGCUACAGUGUUAGGAGAGAGGAGUUGAGAUGGGAAUGGGUGUAGAGGGCUUUAAGGAGAGAGUUCUGGGUCAGAAAUAGCUAUUUUAAACCAGCCUUUUUCGCCCCCUCAAACACUGAACAACAACAACAACAACAACAACAACAACAACGGCUCAAGUGAGCCUCUUCAUCUCAGGCUCAAGAAUUCAAAGGUAGGGGAAAAAGAAACCGAAGUGGAUGGAGCAGCGGGGAGUGGUCACCUGCCAUAGACCCAACCCCCUGGUUUUCCAGCCUAGUUGAGCCCAACUUCAAAAUUAGAAUGUCUGGCCAGGAGAGGGCACCUGCGUGGGAAAUGGUAUUUCUUUCCUCCGGAGAAAGUACUUGAAUGUCUAUUUGAGAAUGAAUCCUAUUCGUUGAGAAUGUAUAAUUUUUUUUUUUCUCCCCCAGAGAAAUUGUGCUGGACGUUUAAGGAAUGAAGGAACAAGAGUAGUUUAAUAUGGAUAUCCCACGGCUGGUCACAGGAAAUGGCUGAAAGAAUAGAGAUAAUUCUAAAUACUGGAGCGAGUGGAGAGGAUUAUCGAGAGGAGUUAAGAAUGCAGGGCAGAAUUAACAAAAAAAAAUAAAUUGCAAAUUAAAAAAGAAUCAGGGCAGGUUGGUGAGCAUGUAGUGCCAGAUGGAUGGAAUGGUAUGUUAUUGGGAGUGGGAAGCGCUAGACCAAAGAGAAACAGGUCAUUUUUAGUAGCUGUUCAGGUUGAGUGCCUUAAAAUGGUUUCUAGGAACUCUGACUCUCCCAAGUGGCAGAGGAAACCAGAUGGCAAUUCCUCACCUACUUCUAGGCCUGUGGCUGCUAAAUUGAUGGUGAUCUGGGGUUGUCGGUUCAUCUGAGUAUCUUCCUAAAGAUUGACUCCUUGAUUUGAGGAUAGCUCUAAACAUAUUUUGUCACCUCCCAUGUUAGAGGACAGGUGGGUUGUGUUACUACAAUUUCGUAGGGAAAAAAAAAGAUUGCUUCUCGGACCUUGAAAUUCCAUAGUAGGGAGUUGUAGGACUUCUUUUCCUUCUUUCCUUGUUCCAUUAGAACAGCUUCUUUUCUCAUCGGUUAAUUUGCCUUCACCCCUGGAAGAAAACUUAGGAAACUCCAGAGGGUGGUCGAUUUUCAAACAUUGUGGCAGUGGAUGGAGGACUCAAGAACCCUGAAUUUUGGGCUGGUGAAGGAGGCUAUGUCCACAGCAUGCAAGUAGGAACCACAUCCACCCCUUUCCCAACCAAAGGGGUCCAGAACUCCUGCUUAGGAUUUGAGGAUCAAACAUUUCCAGGCAGGUGAGGUUUACCUCUUGGUUAGGCAAAUGACUACCAGUAGUCUCACCUUGCAGAUCAGGAAUGGGCCACAAGAUAAAUGGAGACAGAAACCAGACAGAGAGGGAACUAGAUAGAACCAGUGGACAAUACAGGAGAUAGCUUUAUUGAAACACAAAUGGCAUGGAACAGAUGAAUCUUGCUGGGAGGAGACAAGCCUGAUGGACAGAGGAACCUCAUGAGAGGGGCCUCUGGCAGUGAUGGAAGAAGGCCUCUUCAGCUGGCCUGGCAUGGAUUUGAUUUUCAAUCAAUUUGUUUCUUAAAACAAAUUACUGAGCAGACAGCCCAGCUCUCUUCAUGAUUGUUACCGCAACUAUAUACAACGGUUUGCUUUCCAGAUUCAAAUUUGCUUUCUCUACACUAGAUUAUAAAAGGGGGUAGAUUUAAAAAGAGGCGAGGGUCAAAUGAGAAAAAACACAAACACACAGACACACACAUAUCCUGGUCUGGGGCUUUAUGUCCAAUAAAUUAAAAAAAAACACAAAAACCAAAAAAAAACAAAAAAACCUCUUGCAAAAAUUCCUGCCCACUUUCCACCUGAGGGUCGGCAUGCAUUUGAGAAACACAGACUCCAUCACGUGAACAGCGCUGCCUAAAACAGGAUGGGGGUGAGGUGGGGGGAGGGAAGGAAUCUAGCAGGGGUUGGAAUUCAUCAAAAAAAAAAAAAAAGAUUGUUCUGUUAAAAAAGAAAAACAAACAAAAAACAACGGUAACAAAAAACAUUAGGAAGUGGGAGGCUACUGCACAGCAGUAACCAUAUAUUGGCUGGGAUAUGGGAGCUCUUGGCUUAUUAUCCAACACCUUCCAUCUCCAAGGAAUGGCAGGAAAGCAGAACGACCCCACAGGAGAUGAUCAAAGGCCCAUCAUCAGCCUUUUGGGGACUGAGGGGGUGAUGUUAGUGCAAUAGUUUUACACUCGCCUUCUUCCAGCCUUAGUUCCCCCUCCAGACCCUUGGUUCUAAAUUUCAAGAGGUCUAGUACUAGCACAUUUCUUUGUCCUUUAUCCAUAAGCUCCCUCUCAGGGAAAACUGACAAACUUGAGACAGAACCAGUUGUAAACAGCCCCAUCUACCCUAUGGUCCCAUCAGCUACCCCGUGAAUCUGGAAAGGUAAGAAGCUCCUUUCAGGGUUGUUUGUUUGUUUUUUAAGAUUUUAUUCCAUCACUGUGUCUGAGUAGGUCUGUACCCAAGUCCUGGUGUGAGGAAGGAAAGGAUGGGCCCAGGGACUUAGUUGCCCCUGUCCCACAUCUUCAUUGUGUUUCAGUCUCUCCUGUGAGCCGAGCAGAGCAUGGAGAAGGGAUCUUCCUGGGGUCCUCAAGCCCUCCAGCUGCCUUGGGGAAGGAGGUUCUGGCCAGGUUCUCAGACCCAGAAGUGCCUUUAGAACUCAGCGAAAGGAGAGGGCUUGUUGCUAAGAGAACAAGUUGCCAUGGAAAUACAAAUGAGAUUUUCUGCCUUUUCUUAUCCUAUUAUAUAAUCAGAAAAAGGCUCACUGUAGACACAAAUAAUCCAGCAGAAGAGCAAUCUGGAAGAGACCUCCGACUGCUUUUUUUUUCUGUGACAGCCCAUUAGUUUCCCAGGUAAAAAUUUCAGAGCCAUACUUUUCUCUGAAGAUUGUGUUCAGCUAGAAGAGAGGCCAGCAUCCCCCCUAAUGUCUACCCAAAGGCACAUGUACCUUUUCUGUGUUAAAUAAAAGGAAAAACAGAAACAUAAAGAAGCACAAGAAAGGUGAGUUUGAAAUUAAUAUUAGAGUCUGAAUUAUAACCUGCGACCUUCUAAUUUUCAGUCCUAAAGCCCCUCAGCAUGGGGAUUCUGCUACUUGGCUUUCCCUUUUAAAAAGUGAAUUUCAAACUGUAGCAUGCAUCAGAAUUACCAACAGGGUUUGUUAAAACAAAUUGCUGGGCCCUCUCCCUCGUUUCUGAUGCCGUAGGUCUGAGAUGGGGCCUGUGAAUUUCAUUUUUAACAAGUUCCCAGUGCUUGCUGCUGCUGGUCUGGAAACACAGGUUGAAAACCACUAAAAAGUUGAAUCAAGGAAGCAAGAGUUCACUUACUUCCCUGGCCACUCUUGACACAGAAAAUUCUCCAUGGCAUAAUCAUUCAGAAAAAUAGCCAAGGGGCACCUGGGUGGCUCAGUCGGUUAAGCGCCAGACUUUGGCUUGGGUCACAAUCUCAUGGUUCUUGAGUUCGAGCCCCACCACGGGCUUGCUGCUGUCAGCACAGAGCCCGCUUUGGAUCCUCUGUUUCCCUCUCUCUGCCCCCCCCCCCCCCCCCCCCCCCCCCCCCGCUCAUGCUCUCACUCUCUCUCAAAAAUAAAUAAACAUUAAAAAAAGAAGAAGAAAAAUAGCCAAAACAUCAAACUGGGAGGAUCCAGUAUACAUAGGUUUAAUUUUCAGCUGUAAUGGUCUCUGUGCAGCUUCCAUUGGUGUCCUCAUCUUCCAGUUUAUUCUGUUUGCCAGGGUCCAUGGCUGGCAGUGCUUGCUUCCCGGGCUAGGCUGAGCACACACGCACACGUGGAUCUGCAGCAGCGGAGAGAGCUAAGUUGGUGGCCCCAUAUGUCCCUGAUCAGGUUGGCUGAGGACUCAUGAAUAUAUAAAGCUGAUUCAAGUAUAAAGGGCAGUAUCUUCAGGCGUUGGCCUUUUGGGAACAGUGUCCCUAAGACCAUUUUAUUACUUAUGGCCUCUUUAGUGGAGUCAUGAAUCACUAGUAGCCAGAACUCGCUAGUAGUUACUAGUCAUCGAAAGAGUGUACCAGGAUUAAAUCAGUAUAUCCAUCAGUAAACCCUCAGGAAAAACACAUUUCACCCCAUUUGUGGGGUUGACUUAUGAUAGUCUACUUAUUAGCUUCAGCUCAGCUAAGGCCCAGGAAUAAGAAAAAAAGGUUAUGGUGAGGAGUUACAUUUGGUGAUCUGGUUACUUUAGCACUUGAACCCCAUGAUAAAUGUGUGAUUAGGACAAGAACAGCUUCCUUUCCCAAACACCCUGCAAUAAAGAGACCAUAGAGCCUCCUGUAGGUCUCUUGAUGCUGGCUUGUAGGACCAAGUCUCACUCAGUAUGGCAAAUUUUACCUAUAAGCAGAAUUUCUGUAUAUGCGUUGUCAGGCGAUGAUGUGAGGCGUUUGUGAGGAAGGGCAGGCUGUUCUCUUCCUACUCUUUUGUAAUACUACAGAAACUAGUUACAUCCGAGACUAAAAGGGGGCGUCCCUCUGUAUAGUGUGACCCUGGUCUCAGGGAGCCAGAAGUGAAGACACGGGGAGAUAAGGUCCAUCGGGAAUCUUGCAAACCAGGAAAACCAAAAAGCCAGAAGUGAAAUGAAAAAAAAAAAAAAAAAAGUCACUAUUUUGUCUGAAACCCUUACGGGCUGUGAGUAGAUUAGUUAGAAGGCUGGUAAUUUAAAACCAAAUGUAGCAUGGCAAUCAAUAAGGACUUCACUGUAGGGUCUGUCCGUGGACAGCAAAUCUUUCUUCCUUGCUAGCCUCUAGCUUCCCAAUGGUUAGACUACACGAAAAAGACAUUGGUAUAAGGAUUCACACAAAGACAGAGAUAAGCACCGUAGAGCUGCCACAAAGCAUAGAUUUUUAAAAAAAUAUUCUGAAGCCUCAGAAGAUAGGAACCAGCAACAGCAAACUGCUCUUGUGAAAGAGAGAGAGAGAGAGAGACACACACACACACACAGACAUCAGGUCCCAUAUUAGCCUCCAAUUACCUAGUAUUUUAUUUUUAAUGCCUAGGCAGGGAUUGAGAAACACAUACACUGGACAAAAUGUGUUGGUUGUCUUCAUCCAGAAAUGAGAGGGACUCUGCUGAGGAACCUCUCCUGCAGUUGUGGCUCUCCUCAGAAGUUGAUUUUGGGUAUUGACCCAUGUCCUCUGCUAGCCCACUUUGGUGAGGAAUGGAGAUGAGGGUCUGGAGAGGAAGGGGAGAGCACACAUCCCAGUCCUAGACAGGCUGGGUUCUUCUGAAGGUGCCUGGGGGCUGAGAAUUUAGCUGGGGGACCCAGUUUUCAUUUUUGGAGGGAUCCCAGUAGCCUCAACUAAGAAGCACGUGCGUAGGUAGGAGAGAAUGCUGUGGAUUUGCUCUUGCCAUCAAUUCCAGGGCAGUAAGGGGGAGCUCAGCUUUUCUGCUUCAGAGAAGUCUGGAUGAGCACCCCAAGGGGUUAUAGCACCAUGAGGAGGCUCAACCUUCUGCAGUUGCCACAUAACCAUGAUUCCUUGGUGAGAUGAUAGAUCCCCACAAUGAGGGGCCCAAGUGCGCAACUGUAAACAGGGUCCCAGGCUCCAGAGGGAAAGCUGAGGCUGCAGUGCUACCUCAUUAGACGGGAACACGCUUUUUGGAGGAAAGCAACUAGAGACCUGGGCUAAAUGCAGCAGUCAACUCAGAGUAGAGGGUGGUGGGUCCCAAGAAUAGAGAUUAAAAUUCAUACCAGGAGAGGCCUCCAGAAUCAACCUGUUGAGGAUCCAAGGAAAAUUCCCGGUGGUAUCCAUGGUUACCAGGGAGACAAGAAUCCCUUUGGAGGUCUGAGGCAGUUGGAAUGGAGGAAGGGGCUCUCCCCUUUCCUUUUUCUCAAGUAGCCAGUAACAUCCAUGCUAGAAGGCACUGGCUGGGCAGCACCAGAAAGUAGAGAAUUAAAGGCUCAAUCACCUUAUCAAGGUGGCAUUACAAGUCUGAGCCUUGCCAUGGGACUGGAGCUAAGGACAGGGUUCAGAAGAGGCCUCGGUCCAAAGAAGGCCCAUCCGGUCUUCCCUUCCUUCCAAGUUAGAACACCCAGCUCUGGGGUGUCCUCAUUCUGCACAGCAGAGACCUUAAGGCAGUGAUUUCAGCACCAUCCUUGAACAAACAUCCUCUUCCCACCACAGAAUUGCAUAUUUUACAGCUGAGUUGGUUGGGGAUCUUCACAGCUCACGGACUUAGCAGCAAAAGCAGUAAUAGUCUCCAUCAUAGAGGACCCUGUCAUCCCUGGGAGCUACCAGGUGAAUGCAGAAGCUUUCGUGGGGAGCAACCCGAACCAUCUUUUGGACCUAAAUGGAAAUAUCCUGAUGUGAAGAGUCCGAUGCAUGUAUUCCUUGGUUGGGGAGGACAGAAUGGUCCAGGUUCGUACGCCUAGAAGUUCUGAUAAGGUCUUGUGCUACUUAGGAAUCUGAACAACAAGUGCUUGGACCCAGGCUGAUCACAUAUCUUUGAUCUGCAGAACUCUGAGACUUCAUCUUCACCAGGCGGUUCAACCUGGAUCUGGUCCCACGGGGUCUUCCAGAAAUGGCGGGAAGAGAACUUGCCCACUUGAGAUAAAGCAAGAUUCCGUAGUCCUUCAGGGUCCAUCUUGACUGAUCCCCAGACCUUCUACCCCCCGUGUAUUGGACAUCUAAUCAAAGGCUUCUUUCUAGCUGGCAACUUGGGUUUUGGCUACAUUUCUUAGAUGAUCCUGAGGGUCUAGAUAAGAAGAUGUGCAUUUAAUGGAGGUUAAGAUUUCCUACUAGGUUGUGAAUAUAAGGGCUCAAGUCUCGUCAUUUUUUUUUUUUUUUUUUUAAACCUAGUGACUGACAGACAGUGAGUACUCCGUGUUUGUUGAAUGAAGGCAUACAGACUGCCAGACCUUUGGGGCAACUUCUGCUACAGGUGGAUCCCUUUGGAAGGCAGAUCUUUGCCACCAAAUCAAAUUCCUUGAGCCUUAUAUUCUGAUUGGGAGUAUUUCACACGGAUGUCCAGUCUCUUAUAGGUGAGUAUUUACUUGUCAAAAACAAAUAGUAAAGGCCAGCUAGGGAUUUUGGAUUCAGUCGAGCAGAGUGGGUGCCAUCAGAAUAGGGCAGUGAGGGGCCAAACAGGCCACAAGACAAAGGAAUAGUUCUAGUUUCCUGGUUUUCCUCCCAGUCCAGUGUGAAGCUCAGAGUAGAUCUUCUAUCAACACGGGGCGGUACCCUUUUUAAGUCAGAGACUGACAGCUGAGCAUCCAAGCAAAACGUGUGCUUUCUCAAAAGGGAAGUCAAGGUUCUUCUACUACUUCUGUCUGAGCCAAUGCUUCAUGUCUCAUAUAAGUCCCAAGGACGCCAGAGAUAGUGGGGUGGCAGGUAUCUAGCUAGGGCCAGUUAGAUGGCAUCAGAUUCUCCAGAGAAAACCCACUUGGCAAAGCCAAACUAGGCCCAGGAAAAGCAAUCCAAGCAUUUUGUGGGCAUGAGAGGAGAUUGGGGGGACAAAAGAAAGGAAGGAAGGAAGGAAGGAAGGAAGGAAGGAAGGAAGAAAGAAAGAAAAAGAAAGAAAGGAAGAAAGAAAGAAAAGAAAGAAAAGGAAAAUCAAUAGGCACAUGGGAGGGGAAAAAAAAGAAACGAAACAAAAAGCGAAAAUAAAAAAUAAAAAAAGUAGGGUUUAUUGACUGUCAUGCAUGUUAAAUUAAAGGGUGUAAGAUGGCUAGCAGUCUUUCUCUGAAGGCUGGAAUGUUAUUUUUGUGGUGUGGUGACUUCUGAGAUAGGCAGCCAUCUUGUUAUCAUCCCUUAUGUCAUCCAGGGAUGGGCAGCGCUCUCUCUACCUUGGCAACUGUUUCCUCUCUCUCCAGCUUCAUCUUUCCUUUUUUUUUUUUUUUUUUAAAUACCUUUUACAGAUUGAUUUAAACAUUUUUUAAACCACAUGCUUCUUUUUCUUGGCUCCAGCCAGAUCUCUGGGGGAAGAAGAGUGAUUGGCAGUGGUGACAGAACUCGGAAGGGUCUGUGAGAAAUUCUGGGGAGCUUCCACCUCCCUCAGGUUUCCCCACACAGGGCUGUCUCUCUCAGAGCUGUUCAUGAGAAUCAUUUAGGAACUGCUGCAGGUUUUGCUGAUGUCUUCUGAGCCCCUCCCCAGAAAGCCUAGGAGUUUCUAAUUGAGACAAGAAAUCAAGGAAAAAGACCCAGAAUCAUCUUUUCCCCAAAGUCAUGAGAGGAGGCCAGUAAAUGGAUCUAGGGGACACAAGUUUCCAAACUCCACCCCACCAGUCCUUCCUAGGAAGUUCUCAAAGGUGCAGCACCAAGAACCUGCCCUCUUCCUUCACCUCCUCCUCCCCCUCCUGUUCUCCUCUUGGGCCGGAGAGCCAGUGCUCUGGAAGAAGAGAGGGGAGAGGAGGAGAGAACGUCGCUCCUGCCGGCAUUCUGCUGUCCGGGGUGACAGGGACUGUUGGGCCCUCAAAGUGUGGCCUGGAGGUUGGGGUCCAGGAUGGUUUCUCGAUCUGGAGACUCAAUGUAAUUGGCAGCUUCUUGAAGCUUCAGCAGCAUGGCCAUCUAAAAAGGGCAAAGGAUGGAUUAAUGAGAGUUAGGACUCAGGGUCCCGCCCCCAAAAGGGAAACCUAAUACAAUCUAGAUCCUGGGUCUGAUUCUCGUUUCGUAAGUGAUUUAGAGCCCAGAGAGUUUACAAGUGGCUCAUGAAAAAGCAGCAGUGAAGGGGCUCCUGGGUGGCUUAGUCAGUUGAGCGUCCGACUCUUGGUUUCGGCUCAGGUCAUGAUCUCAGGUUCGUGAGAUUGAGCCCUGCAUCGGGCCCUGCACUGAAGGCGUGGAGCCUGCUUGGGUUUCUCUGUCUCCCUCUCUCUCUGCCCCUGCCCUGCACCUACUCUCUCUCUCAAAAUAAAUGAAAGAAAGAAAGAAAGAAGGAAAGAAAGAAAGAAAGAAAGAAAGAGCAGCAAUGAUUACUUAAACCCUGUCUGUAAGCAUGUGUGUGUGAUGUUCAGGAGUGUGGCUGAGACAUAAGGUGCCCUGCCGUGAGCUGAUGCCCAAACAGCGGAGACCCCCUCUGCUUCUAGGGCGCUCACACUCUAGAAAAGGACAGAAGGCGCGUACACACUGACUAAUAUUGGGAGGGAUGUGCAAAGUGGCCCUAAGAACAUCUGUGUCUGUCAACUUCUUCCAAUAGAUGACAACCAGUGUUAUCAUGAACCAGAUUCCCCUGGCUCACGUACCCUAGUGCUCUGUGUCAAGUCUAAACUCUUCAGUGUAAUUUUUUUUUUUUAAUUUUUUUUUUUUUUCAACGUUUAUUUAUUUUUGGGACAGAGAGAGACAGAGCAUGAACGGGGGAGGGGCAGAGAGAGAGGGAGACACAGAAUGGGAAACAGGCUCCAGGCUCCGAGCCAUCAGCCCAGAGCCCGACGCGGGGCUCGAACUCACGGACCGCGAGAUCGUGACCUGGCUGAAGUCGGACGCUUAACCGACUGCGCCACCCAGGCGCCCCUCUUCAGUGUAAUUUACCUCCUUCCUUCUUCCCUCUUUACCUCUCACUCUCCCCUGGUUCUUCAAGACUAUGACCCUCCAUUUUAGCUAAGUACGCCUGGUUGGUUCUUUAUCGAAUCUUCUCUCUACCCUUUUAUUUACAUGAUCACUAACAGUCUUCCAACUUAAUGGCUUUUUUUUUUUACACAGAUAACUACAUUUUUAACAAAGUCAAAAUUGAAAUAAAAGUGUAUUAUGUGGAAGAAUUUCUUGCAAGGUAAAACGGCAAGGUCACAGAAGUUGUGCACAUUGAAAUUUUAAUAUAAGCUGCCAAGUUAUCUUCCGAAAAUGACUUUGCUAAUGAACACUCCCACCAGCAGAGUAGGAAGCCUGUGCUUCCAAACACACUAUUUUUGCAGUGUGAAAUGGUUAUCUCCUUAUUUGGAUGUGCAUUCCCGCAAUUACUAGAGAGGUUACGGAUCUUUUUAUAUUUUUAUUGGCCAUUUGCACUUCCUCUAGUCAAAUGCCUAUUCAUAUCUUUUGUCCGUUCUAUUUGGAAAUUUUGUGGCAAGUUUUAUAUAUUCUAUUUUUUUAAUGUUUAUUUUUGAGAGAGAGAGAGAGACAGAGUGCAAGCUGGGGAGGGGCAGAGAGAGAGAGGGAGACACAGAAUCCGAAGCAGGCUCCAGGCUCCCAGCUGUCAGCACAGAGCCUGACGCGGGGCUCGAACCCACGACUGGACCCAUGACCUGAGCUGAAGUCGGACACUUAACUGACUGAGCCACCCAGGUGCCCCGGGAAGUUUUAUAUAUUCUAGAUACCAAUCCUCUUUUGGUUACAAGCCUUGCAAAUAUUUGCCCCUAGUUGGUCACUUGUCUCAGACUGCUUCUUACAGGGGCUCAUGAAAUCCACUGAGCUGAGGCAGUCUUCAGGACAGCACGAGAGCAUAGAGGGAGAGGUAGUGACCAUGCAUCCUACCUGGGAUCUGCCUGAGACUUGGCUCUUUACUAGAGUAUAUCUUGCCAGCAUGCAUUAUUAUUUAGCUUAAGCUAGGUUGCAGGCAUAUGAUCUUUAUAACCCAGGAUUCUGAGAGUUGAGCUCCUCACUGACCUCCUCCUAGUCCUGGGCUUGCUGAUACCCUUCAGUGUCCAUCAGGGUAUGCACGAAGAGUUCAAUUCCAUAAUACUCUUACUUUUACCUUAGAAUGGCUUCUACUCACCAGAGGGUCCGAGUCCAGAGAACUUGGGGUGCUAUCUUUGACUGUCCUAUCCUCGGGAGGU
Molecule: long non-coding RNA, 11602 nt
Filed under: Lynx pardinus (Iberian lynx)
Lineage: Eukaryota; Metazoa; Chordata; Mammalia; Carnivora; Felidae
Source: RNAcentral